GUUGCCAGGGUCGUCGUCCUCCGAUCUCCUUCGCCCGAGCCGAUCUCUCCACCGAUUUGCUCCGACCGUGCCGAUCUCCUCCGUGCCACCGUCGGUACUCCCUCACCAAUCUGCUCCGCCCACGCCGAUCUCUCCCAUCCGCGUCGCCAGCGAGGGCCACCCCACCAAUCUCCUCCGUGCCACCUCUGGAACACCCGCGCCCGCGUCGCCGACGACCUAGAAGUAAUUUCCUUCCAUCAUGAUUACCCCUUACAAAUAGUGCAAAUGUCUCCUGCAUGGAUCAAUCUUCGCUAA
Molecule: long non-coding RNA, 294 nt
Filed under: Oryza sativa Indica Group (long-grained rice)
Lineage: Eukaryota; Viridiplantae; Streptophyta; Magnoliopsida; Poales; Poaceae
Description: lncRNA OsKYG_03g0041630
Source: RNAcentral